This 868-nucleotide ribosomal RNA is filed under the name uncultured eukaryote. Its description in RNAcentral is "SSU rRNA". It matches the Rfam family "Eukaryotic small subunit ribosomal RNA", at positions 573 to 1464 of the family's 1831-position model. The record is from RNAcentral.
GCCGCGGUAAUUCCAGCUCCAAUAGCGUAUAUUAAAGUUGUUGUGGUUAAAAAGCUCGUAGUUGGAUCUCGGCGGACUGAGGGCGGUUUGCUUGCUAGUAUUACUGCCCUAUAGUCCGUAGUUUUGCCAGAGGUUUCGGGGUGCUCUUAAUCGAGUGUCCCGGGAUGCUGGCAGGUUUACUUUGAAAAAAUUAGAGUGCUCAAAGCAGGCUAUUACGCCUGAAUAUUCGUGCAUGGAAUAAUAGAAUAGGAAGUCGUUUCUAUUUUGUUGGUUUUCGGAAAUCGACUUAAUGAUUAAUAGGGACAGUCGGGGGCAUUUGUAUUCAAACGACAGAGGUGAAAUUCUCGGACCGUUUGAAGACAAACUACUGCGAAAGCAUUUGCCAAGAAUGUUUUCAUUAAUCAAGAACGAAAGUUAAAGGUUCGAAGGCGAUUAGAUACCGCCCUAGUUUUAACCAUAAACGAUGCCAGCUAGCGAUCUGCGGACGCUUUUUUUGUAGACUCCGCAGGAAGCUUCCGGGAAACCAAAGCAUUUGGGUUCCAGGGGAAGUAUGGUUGCAAAGCUGAAACUUAAAGGAAUUGACGGAAGGGCACCACCAGGAGUGGAGCCUGUGGCUUAAUUUGACUCAACACGGGAAAUCUCACCAGGCCCGGACACUGGAAGGAUUGACAGAUUGAUAGCUCUUUCUUGAUUCGGUGGGUGGUGGUGCAUGGCCGUUCUUAGUUGGUGGAGUGAUUUGUCUGGUUAAUUCCGAUAACGAACGAGACUCUGUCCUGCUAAAUAGUGUCUGCUUCUCUUUUGAGCAGACAAUUCUUCUUAGAGGGACUGGCGACUCUUAGUCGCACGAGAUUGAGCAAUAACAGGUCUG